GAUCUGGAGGAUCUCCUCUAUCCGACCAUACUCAUUUUAUCCCCGAAAGCGUGGGACGUUAUACUAAAGUUUUCCCAUUUUUUUUUUUGUCUUACAAUUACUCGUUCAAAAAGGUAUGAUUCAUCGCACCUGAAACGUUGAUGCGGGAUGCGCGGCGUUUAGUUACAACGAGUAUAGACAGUAUCUAUUAGACACACCGUGGACGGACCGACAGACGAACGCAUAUAGCCGUGUACACACAAAAACAAACAUACAUACAUAUGUAUGCAGAUAACACUCACACGACGCUGUUGAACAUAUAGCGCCAGCGAUCGCUAUCCGAAUUUCACUUAAAAGUAUUACGAAUACAUAUGACGUUUAUGAAAUUAUUAAAUGGCUUGUUUUAAUCACACACAAAAAAAACGAAAAACACUCGACAGACGAAACAAAUUGUGCAGCAACAAUGAGAAAGCGAAAGCAAAAUAAAUUUACAAUGUUGCCAGAAGAGUGCGCUGUGGAAAAGUUGAGAAAGUGUGGCGGCGCUGAUACGAAAAUUUAACGCCGGUAAAUCGUGCUGCUUGACAAAUUUUUUAGUAGAGAAAACAUACAUUAUUUUGGAAGAAGUUUAAAAAGUAACCCAAAUUCGGGGAUAUAAUCUGUAUGGGCGGAUAAGUUAAAGAAUAUUUUUAUAUAUAUAGCCACGACAACUUUUCGUUUAAAAUGUAAAAAUUCAGCAAUGUAAAUUAUGCAAGUUUUUUCGAUUUUUAAUAUAAUUUAAUCCCAGCUUAUUAUUUGAUGAAA
Non-coding RNA from Bactrocera oleae (olive fruit fly), 780 nucleotides. The record is from RefSeq and is a predicted model, not a curated record. NCBI's taxonomy places the organism in Eukaryota, Metazoa, Arthropoda, Insecta, Diptera, Tephritidae.